This 932-nucleotide long non-coding RNA is filed under the name Citrus sinensis (sweet orange). RNAcentral's name for it is "long non-coding RNA (CSIN_LNC000638)". Lineage: Eukaryota; Viridiplantae; Streptophyta; Magnoliopsida; Sapindales; Rutaceae. The record is from RNAcentral.
GGAAGAAAUCAAUAAAGAGUUUGAAGAGAAGAAGCCUGAGCUCCAACCUAAAGUGGUCGAAAUCUAUGAAGCUUCUUCAGCUGAAAUCAAGGUCUCUACAUGAAUGAACAUACCAAAUCUGUUAUAGCUACAAAUGUCAGAGAGAAUUAAAAAGAUCCAAUUCAUGCAAGUUUUUAUUUAUUAAUUUAACCUUUUUUUUUUUUUUUGGCUUUGGCUUUGGCGUUUAAAUGAAAAUACAGACCCUGGUCAAGGAUCGCAAGGAGGAUGGACUUAAGAAGCACUCCACUGCUGUGCACAAGUUACUUGAAGAACUCGUUAAAAUCGGUAAAAUAGUUCUAUCACAUAUGGUAUUAUUAAUUAAAGUUAAGGUCAUGUGUUAAAAUCACAUGAGAAUUUUAUUAACAUAUAUGUAUGUGUGUAUAUACAGAGUUUCCAGGAUCAAAAGCAGUAAGUGAAGCAUCGUCAAAGUUUGGGGCAGCCUCUGUUCCGGGGCCAGUUUUCUUCAUAUUUGAGAAGGUCUCAACGUUUAUUGUUACUGAAGAAAAAGCAGCAGAGCCAGCAACCGCGGCAGCAGGAGAAGAAACAAAACCAGAACAAGAGACAACAAGUAGUAGUACCGCCGCAGUCACAGAGAAGGACGACGUAGUUGUUGAGGAAGAGAAGAAAGAAGAGGCCCCCGCCGGCCCUGAGAAAACUGAGCCGGCAGAAGCCGCCGCCGCCCCAGCCCCAACUGAGCCUCUUCCUGCCGCCGCCAAGGAGGACCAACCAGCUGCUGCAGAGCCACCAAAGCCUUGAGAACAUGCAUCAACUGACAAGACAAAUUCAUAUCCAUAUAUACAUAGAUAUAUAUUUCAUAUUCAUCAAGUGAAAGUGAAGUAAUAAUGUUAAUAUUUUGUGUACGUAAAAGUCUUGUAAAAUGCAAAACAUGAUUU